AAGGACGGUGAGAGCGUCUCCCAGGGUCUGGGGGAGCGCUUGGAUGUGGAGCGUUGCUUAAAUGAGGUGCCGAGGGAUGAACCUUUGUGCCGGGGAGUAGCAGAGGGAUAGGAUGUAAACCAGACACAAAUGGAGGAGGCCAGAGGAGCACAGCAAUGAGGUGGGUUGGCACCUGAAGCCCAAGCUCCAGCCUGACUUUCUUCAAUGCUUACCCCGUUGUUUGGCUCUUUGUUUCAUUAGAAGAUGCGAAGCGCUUGGUACGGCCAGGUGGUCUGAAGCAUUCCAACCGCUGGUCC
Long non-coding RNA from Corvus hawaiiensis (hawaiian crow), 296 nucleotides. RefSeq lists it as uncharacterized. Lineage: Eukaryota; Metazoa; Chordata; Aves; Passeriformes; Corvidae. The record is from RefSeq and is a predicted model, not a curated record. The transcript has 3 exons.